GGCCAGAUCUGUGAUGAUAGUAUGUGCGGCGAACUCCGCCAGGUCGGGAACGAAGCAACGGUAACUGUCUCUGCUAGGUGUUGCUGGUUUGGCCGCC
Molecule: signal recognition particle RNA, 97 nt
Filed under: Bdellovibrionales bacterium RIFOXYC1_FULL_39_130
Lineage: Bacteria; Pseudomonadati; Bdellovibrionota; Bdellovibrionia; Bdellovibrionales
Also listed under: 6 other names
Description: signal recognition particle sRNA small type
Rfam family: Bacterial small signal recognition particle RNA
About the family: The signal recognition particle (SRP) is a universally conserved ribonucleoprotein involved in the co-translational targeting of proteins to membranes.
Source: RNAcentral